UACGGAGGGUGCAAGCGUUGCCCGGAUUUAUUGGGCGUAAAGCGUUCGCAGGCGUCUUGGUAAGUUACAUUUCAAAGACUGGGGCUUAACCUCAGGAGGGGAUGUAAUACUGCCAGGAUAGAAAGAUCUCGGGGCUACUAGAACUACCGGUGUAGGGGUGAAAUCCGUUGAUAUCGGUAGGAAUUCCAAGGGCGAAGGCGGGUAGCUAGGGAUUCUUUGACGCUCAGGGACGAAAGCUAGGGUAGCGAAAGGGAUUAGAGACC
Molecule: ribosomal RNA, 263 nt
Filed under: uncultured bacterium
Lineage: Bacteria
Description: partial 16S ribosomal RNA
Rfam family: Bacterial small subunit ribosomal RNA
Source: RNAcentral